Molecule: long non-coding RNA, 533 nt
Filed under: Carica papaya (papaya)
Lineage: Eukaryota; Viridiplantae; Streptophyta; Magnoliopsida; Brassicales; Caricaceae
Description: long non-coding RNA (CPAP_LNC013391)
Source: RNAcentral
AGUCAAGUGUGGCUCAAGAAAAUAGGUCACACAGCAGGAGGAGGUCUCUUCAUCAUCCCAUCUUCCAUUUCAACAGCCAUAGCUUUGAUCUGUAGCCAUCUUUGGCAGAAAACCCAACCCUGCCUAAUAGCUAAAAUGGGACUUAGGCUAAAAAUUGAUUAUAUAAUAUAUACAUAUAUAUAUAUAUAUGUAUAUAUACAAGAUGUAUAGAGUUGUAAGCUGCAAUCCAUAACUGAGAUAUAGGGAUGUAUUUCUGCUGCUGCAUUGUAGUCAAAAUACAUUGGUAUAUGCCUGGUUAUACGUCCAUGUAAUUAAGUUUAGAGGUUAAAUAAUCGAGUUAGGUUUUAUUCAAAAGAAACUUAAAAAGUAAAUAUUAAAUUAAUAUAUGAAGUUUGAUAUUUAUUAUAAUUUGAUACUUCUUGUAUUUUUCGUUUAAUUUGGUCUCUAAUAUUUUUUUAAUUCCAAAAUAUAUAUGGUUGAACUUCGUUUUAUGUUUCAAGUCUCGAUGGCUCGGCUCGGCCCGGCCCGGCCCG